GGAGGAUUGGCCGAGUGGUCGAAGGCGCUCGCUUGGAAAGCGGGUAUACCUCCGGGUAUCGAGAGUUCGAAUCUCUUGUCCUCCGCCA
This 88-nucleotide transfer RNA is filed under the name Halobacteriovorax sp. RNAcentral's name for it is "tRNA-Ser". It matches the Rfam family "tRNA". From Rfam's summary of the family: Transfer RNA (tRNA) molecules are approximately 80 nucleotides in length. Their secondary structure includes four short double-helical elements and three loops (D, anti-codon, and T loops). Further hydrogen bonds mediate the characteristic L-shaped molecular structure. tRNAs have two regions of fundamental functional importance: the anti-codon, which is responsible for specific mRNA codon recognition, and the 3' end, to which the tRNAs corresponding amino acid is attached (by aminoacyl-tRNA synthetases). tRNAs cope with the degeneracy of the genetic code in two manners: having more than one tRNA (with a specific anti-codon) for a particular amino acid; and 'wobble' base-pairing, i.e. permitting non-standard base-pairing at the 3rd anti-codon position. Lineage: Bacteria; Pseudomonadati; Bdellovibrionota; Bacteriovoracia; Bacteriovoracales; Halobacteriovoraceae. The record is from RNAcentral.